This 627-nucleotide ribosomal RNA is filed under the name uncultured bacterium. Its description in RNAcentral is "bacterial SSU rRNA". It matches the Rfam family "Bacterial small subunit ribosomal RNA", at positions 232 to 885 of the family's 1533-position model. The record is from RNAcentral.
CGCGGCCUAUCAGCUUGUUGGUGAGGUAAAAGCUCACCAAGGCAAUGACGGGUAGCUGGGCUGAGAGGUCGGCCAGCCACAAGGGAACUGAGACACGGUCCCUACAUCUACGGAUGGCAGCAACCGGGAAUUUUGCGCAAUGGGGGAAACCCUGACGCAGCGACGCCGCGUGGAGGAUGAAGGUUUUCGGAUCGUAAACUCCUUUUGCCAAGCCCUUCAAAGCUUGGAGAAUAAGCCUUUACUAACUACGUGCCAGAAGUCUCGGUAAUACGUAGGAGGCAAGCGUUAUCCGGAUUAACUGGGCGUAAAGCGUGCGUAGGCGGUCCUAUAAGUCACAGCUUAAAGGCUACGGCUCAACCGUGGAAAUGGUUGUGAUACUGUAGGACUAGAGGAUUGUUCGGGAUGUCGGAACAGCUGGUGUAGCGGUGAAAUGCGUUGAUAUCAGCUGGAACACCAAAGGCGAAGGCAGACAUCUAGAAUCCUCCUGACGCUGAGGUACGAAAGCUAGGGGAGCGAAAGGGAUUAGAGACCCCUGUAGUCCUAGCCGUAAACGAUGGACGCUAGAUUCUCCUGUUUUACGGGAGAGUCGUAAGCUAACGCGUUAAGCGCCCCGCCUGGGGAGUACGG